GGCCUGGUAGCAUAGCUGGAUAGUGCAUCUCCUUCAAUUUACAACCACGCAAUUUACGCAGGAGAAGAUCCCCGUUCGAAUUCGGGUCAGGCUU
Non-coding RNA from Mycena rosella, 94 nucleotides. NCBI's taxonomy places the organism in Eukaryota, Fungi, Basidiomycota, Agaricomycetes, Agaricales, Mycenaceae. The record is from the annotation of a GenBank genome assembly.